Molecule: long non-coding RNA, 12758 nt
Organism: Taeniopygia guttata (zebra finch)
Lineage: Eukaryota; Metazoa; Chordata; Aves; Passeriformes; Estrildidae
Source: RefSeq, a predicted model, not a curated record
GAGGGGUCGUGGGGUGCGGGAGGUCCCCUCCUUCCCUUUGGGUUUCUUUGGGACGGAUGCGGUCGGCCCCAUCUUUGCGCUUUACGCAACAGGUAGGGAUGCCAGGAGCUGGCGGCGGCGGCACGGAGUCGCGGCCAGGAGGUUUCGGGGGGCUUUUUUUGUUACGUUCUCUGGAAAAGUGCGAAGGGGAAGGGAAGGAGAGCCAACAGUUAUCCGAAAUUCCCCUUCAGUUGCUUAUUUAUGUACUUCCCGUGUCCAUGAAAAACGGGUUCGUUUCGCAACUCCGGAGUUUUAUAUUGUUUUCUAUUUACUUUUCUCCCCUCCUUUUCUUUCUUUUAAAGUUAUUUUUCUUUAUGUCCUGCGUUUGCCCGCCUCAUUCCGGCAGAUCAAACUGUCCGAAAGCAGAUCCCCAGAGGCUUGUCCUCACUGACAGUCGGGGGAAUCCAAACAAAGAGGUGCAUCUACCGGAAAUAAUGAUUUGAGAGAUGGUUCUCUCCCUUUCCAACCCCCCACUCCCCCGCCUUGAAUUAAAUUGUUUUCUUUUUCUGGGAGGUUCAGUUCGAGGGAAGUUUUGCGCCGGAGCCGGGAUCGGGGCUGAGGAGGGAUGGAGCAGACGGAAAGUUGCGGUGGUGGGAGGAGGCGGGGGGCGAGGGCAGUACGGGACCCCGGCGGCGCCCGGACCGCGGGGGGAGCAGGGGCGCGGGGGACCUGCCGCCGCUGCCGGCUCUUUGUCUGCUCGGGCAACUUGAACAAAAGGAGAAACUCGGAUGAACUCUCCAUCUCUUCCUCGCCUCUCCCGGGUAAACUCAUCUUCGGCAACUUUAUCGGAAGAGAUUUGCUCAACUUUCUUCGAGCUCUCCUGCCGCUUAAAAGCAAAGAGCCCCGCCGUAGACUUCUAAGGAAAUCUGGUUUCACAGUUUAGAGAAAGGAGAAGGUCACAACAUGAUUGUUGGGAAAAUGGGAUGGCUGCCAGAACAUCAGUCGGUGAUGGGUGCCAUAUUGCAUUACUCUUCGAAUGGUGGAAUAGAGCUUGGGAUUCCUCUGGGCUGCUUGACAUGAUUCAAACUGGACCAUACAGAUGCCUAACAUCUUAGCUGUUUGGAUUCAUAGUAAUGGUUAAUGGUCUCCUGGGGGAAGUGGAAAAGCCCCAUGCUGAAACUUGUGGAUAUUACGGAACAUGCUGCUGAGACCUAUUUGGAUUAUACUGCCAUGUGACACCAAGGUUCUGCAUCUGAUGAGAGGAGUUCACCAGAUCUUUUUAUGUGGUUGCUGAAGCAUUGCCCUGGGACAGCAGUAAUGAUGGAUGGACGAACAGAACACACUUCAGGCUUGAGUCACAGAGAAACAUGAGGAUUUGCACUUCUGAAAUAAGUGUGAAUGGGAUUGAAAGAACUAAAUGGAGGAUUCUGAACUCCCCUUCUUCCUGCUCCGGGAAAGAUGGAGGCCUGCUCUGAGACCGCCUUUGGUUAUGAUCCACAUGUGCUACUGAAGCUGGCUGGAAUGGUGUGACAAAUGAGAUUUAGAUGGAUCACUCUGCCAGCUGUCAAGGCCAAUACUGCUCUACAGCCCCUGCUCUCAGCCACAUCCUCAGUGUCCUUGUGGCAGGGUGUCUUGGUAGGACUGUGCAGAUCAAGCUUCACACGACCUCUGCACUUCAGUCUCUCUGUGCUGAGGCAAUGAACACAGACCUAUACUUCACACUGGUUUAUCAAAGGAAUUUUUCCAGUCCCUGUUCAAACAAUUUCUGCCUGAGCAUCUCUGAACAGCUAACUGGAGCAACUGGAAUGAGAGGCAGACACAUCACAGAAGCAAAUCUGGCAGUAAGAUUAUUCCUCAUGCUAAAAUAAUAUCCAGAAGUUUGUAUUCUGUCAGCUGAAAUUACAGUUCAGUUUCUUGGAAGAAGUGAGAUGCUAUUUUGCUGAAGAUAUAUGCCUCUCUGUCCCCUGUUGUUAUAUAAGCAAAUUGUUGGUACUUAUCAUCCUCUUGCUGUCUGCUUCCUCUCUGUAGGUAAUUGUGCCUCUAAUAUUACCUAGAUAUCUCAGCCUUGCUUGUGACCUGAGAGUAGAUUUUAGCUCUUCACAUAAUUGUCUUGUCCUGCACGUGACGGAUUUAUAGGAAUAUUGCAUAUUGUCAAUAAAAAGAAACAACUGACUGUUUUUACUCCCCCUCCCCCUUUCCUCUGAGAGCACCAAGAGCCAGCCAUUUCCAGACUCUUCCUCCUCCCCUUGUGAAGCUCCAGGAAUUCAAGCAGCUUAUCUAAUCCCAUGCUACAGAGGCUGUGUUGCAUCAGGGAGGAAGGUACAAUAGGCAACACAUCCUCAACAGAAGAGUUUUGCUUGGACAAGGACCUAGGGCUACCCAAGGGCCAGCUCAGGAUCAUUGAAUUGUGGGUCAUUGGAGUAUUGGGGCGAGUAAGAUUGCCUUGAGAGGUCCUGUCCUGUGAUGACUCUUCAAUUUCUUUGGUUUUCUCAGCCUUAGUACUGUAGCAAAUACCUGCUUUAGGAAGAGGAUAUGAUGGAAUCUCUAACACAUCUAGUUGGAGGGCCUUGGAACAGGACCUUAUGGUCCAGAUGUGCAACAGGAUGACCACUGCUUCAGCUCAUCAGUCACCUUCAGCACCCAAUAUCUGUUCAUUCUAUCAUCACCUCCAAUACCCAAUUAUCUGUUUUACUGUGCAUUAAUUUCAAAGUAUAGGAUAAGAGUAACUUCAAUAAGACAUAGGGAAGGGGUUUAAUCAUAUUUGAAAAGUCAUGACAGUCCAGUGAAGUUGUCACUGAGUGGAAAAGGGGAAACAAAAGGGAAAAAAGGAAGACCUGAGGAAAUGCAGAACAGUUCCUGUCUCACCUCAGUGCCUGGCAAGAUCAUGGGAAAGAUACUCCUGGAAACUGUGCUAAGUCGUGUGGAAAAUAAAGAGGUGACUGGUGGCAGCCAACAUGGCUUGACUAAGGGCAAAUCAUGCCAGACAAAUUUGGUGGCCUUUUGUGACAUGGUUACCAUAUCGGUGGAUAAGGGAAGAGCAACUGAUGUAAUCUACCUGGACUUGUGCAAAGCAUUUCACAAUACCACAUAACAUCCUCUAAACUGGAGAGGAACAGAUUUGAUGGAUGGAUCACUUGGUGAAUAAGGAAGUGGCUGGACAGUUUCACUCAAAGUGUUGCAAUCAAUAUCUUGUGUCCAAGUGGAACAUAAUGAUGGGUGGUGCUCCUCAGGAAUCAGUACUGGAGACAGCAUUGUUUAACAUCUUUGUUGGUGACAUGGACAGUGGGAUUGGUGCACCACCAGCAAGUUUGCCAACAAUACCAGAAUGUCCAGUGCAGUCAACAUGCUGGAGGGAAGGGAUACCAUCCAGAGGGGCCUUGACCAGCUUAAGAGGUGGGCCUUUGCUAAGCUCAAAGUUCAACAAGGCCAAGUGUAAGGUCCUGCACCUUGACUGGGGCAAUCCCAGACACAAAUAAAGGCUAAAUGGUUGAGGAAUGAAUUGAGAGCAGUCCUGAGGGAAAGGUCUUGGGAGUGUUGGUUGACAGAAAGCUCAGCAUGAGCUCGCAAAUUGUGCAUGCAGCCCAGAAAGCCAGCCAUAGUCUGGUUGCAUGUACAGGAGUGCGGACACUACAUUAAAGGAUGGGAUUCUGCCCCUCUACUCUGCUCUGGUGAGACCCCACCUGGAGUCCUGCAUCCAGCUCUGGGGUCCGCAGCAUAAGAAUGAUACAGACCUGUUUGAGCAAGUGCAGAGGAGGAAGACAAAUAUCAGAGGGCUGGGACACCUAUGGAGACAGGAUGAGAGAGCUGGGGUUGUUCAGCCUGGAGACGGCUCUGGGGAGACCUUAGAGCAGCCUUCCAGUACCUAAGGGGAAUCUGCAAGAGAGCUCAAGAGAGACUUUGUACAAGGGUUGGUAGUGGUUGGACAGGAGUGAAUGGCUUCAAACUGAAGGAGGGUCGGUAUAGAUUAUAUGUUAAGGAAGAAUUUUUUUUUUUUUUUUUUGUGAGAAUGAUGAGGCAGUGGAACAAGUUAGCCAGAAAGCUGGUAGAUGCCUUUUCUCUGUCAACGUUCAUGUGUUUGAGAGACCUGGUCUAGUGGAAAGUGUCCUUUUCUUUGGCAGGGGUGUUGGAACUAGAUGAUCUUUAGGGACCCUUACAACCACAACUGUUUUAUGAUUCAGUGAUUUGGAAUGCUGGUGUGCAGCAAAGAUCCAAGAGUGCUGCCAUUUGCUGAACUGUACAUGAUAAUGUUGUUAGUAGUUGCAUUUCAUUUUGUGGCACAAAUUGCAUUUUGUCCUUUGUGUAAAAGUACUGAUACUUAUACCUUUGUGUAAAAGUACUAUACUGCAGUAGUGCUUCUUAUUUAAAGUGAAAAAUGACUGCAUAAAGCUGUAUUUGAAUCCAGAGGGACCAUUUUAUUAAUUAGUAAAUAAUGAUAUGAUGAAAUUGAAUCAUACUGCUUUUUCUAUUCCAAUUUUUCUUUGAUGAAUGCCUUCUAUAAAAGUGUGUGGACAAAUAAAUUGUUCCCUUAUGUCUCUAAAAACAUGUUGUAAAUGUUUAAUUUUAAUGACAAUUACAGUUUAGAAAGGAAACACUAUUCAAGGACAAGAAGUAUAGAAGUAAGAUUUUAAUUUUAUGAGUUUUAAAUAAAAUAUUAGAAACAUAUUCUGGGAUCACAAUAUUAACAUCCAUAUAUAUAGAUAUAUAUAUUUGUCUUGUUAACCUCAAACCAUGUUUGGAAAUUUUCAUGAAAAUUUGCAUCGCAUAUGAAAAAUCUAGGUACCUGUUCUUUUGACUUCAUGUUAGAAUAAAAGCCAUGCAGUUGGUGAGUGGGAUUUAGCAGUGCUACCAGCAUAGCCAUGUGCUUUGGGGCCGAUUAUAAUCGCUAGGGAGAUUGAAGUGUAUUGAAAACCAGAAAAUCUCGACAAGCCUUUUAAAUGAAUUGUUGAAGUCCUCUAAGAGGAUUUCAGAAUGAAGGUAUCUGAAUGCAUUCUCAUGUGUGGGAAAACCUGAGUGCAUACUGCAUUCCUGGGCCCUGGUGUAAUUUCAUGUAAUACUAGCAAAAACUAAGCCUGUGUUACUGUAAAGUGCAUAUCGACUUGGAUAGUGCUUUCCAAAUCCAUUCAAAACUGUUAUUAGUGUGAGGACACUUCUGAUGGAGAACAUGGACAUUCUUCAAUUGCACCAAGUGAUUUUUAAGGAUGCUUCAAUACUGGGGACUGAAUAAUUGAUCCUGGAAGAGUAUUUCAAAGUAGAUUUGAAAGAAUAAGAGCAACUGGUCCAUCUUGGAAAUAAUACUGACUUCUUUUUUUUAUUUAAGUUGUUUCUCACAUGGUUAAAAAUAAUAAUUUAGUGUUUAUGAAGUUGUCUCUAGUUUGUGUUCAUGAGGAAGCUGCCUCAAUAUUUACAGCUGAAAGGUUCUCCUACUGCAUUCCCAAAUUUACCCUUCAGCUUCACUUUCCUGUAAUAUAGGUCUGGUUGCAUUGUGAAAUGAGCAACUGAUAUAAUCUUUACUACCUUUAUUUCUUUCUGCACAAAGAAUUUCAUUUCUGUGGUAGGAGAAAAACGAUAUUUUGAAGUGUUUCCAUCAAACUACAGCUAAAAAAAUUUAGAAAUCAGAAAACAAUUCUCAUUAUUUGCAUUAAGAAAAUAUCAAAUAAUUCAAAUACAUACAUGGCAAAACAAGUCUUGAAAUUUUCACCAUGCUUCUGAAUGAUCACCAGUUACUGAUAACGAAUCUCUAUGUUUAUAUGAGUGAACAGAGAGAAGCUUACACUCAGAUAUCCUGGAGUUAGUGUUCUGGAUGUAUUUUGACUGGUUGUUUUUUUUUUAUUUUAUACCUCUUGCAAAUUAGCCUACAAGAUUAUGAAGAUAUAGGCAAGCCAAUGAGUUCAUGAGUUGAGAUGUACCUGUAGAUGUGUAUACAAUUUUUUCAUGUUGUUAAGUGGAUAUGUAAUGGAAUCAUAGAAUGGUUAGGGUUGGUAAGGACCUUAAAUAUCACCUGGUGCCAACCCACCUGCCAUGGGCAGGGACACCUUUCACUAAUCCAGAUUGCUCAGUGCCCCAUCCAACCUGGCUUUGAACACUUCCAUGGACAUCAACAGCUUCUCUGGGCAACUUGUAUAAGUGCCUCACCACCCUCACAGCAAAUAAUUUCUUCCUAAUACCUAAUUAAACCUGCUCUUCUUCAGUUUGAAAUCAUUGUCCCUUGUCCUGUCACUAUCUGCCUGUAUAAAAAGUUCCUCUCCCUCCUUUUUAUAAGCUUUGCUAAGGUAUUGGAAGGCUGUAAAAAGAUCUCUUCUCUGGACUGAACAGCCCCAACUCUCAGCCUUUCCUCGUAGGAGAGUAGUUCCAGCUCUCUGAUCAUCUGGCAAUUCAUCAGUAUGAACUGCCAGUGAGUUUUAGAGUAGGUCAUGUUUGUACUAUCAGUUAUGUUGUGUCUUUGAGAUAUAGUGUAUUUAACAUAUUUAAUAUAUGUAAAAUAUUGCAUUUAAAGAGAUCUGUGGUGAUUUUCUGUGCAUAUCUGUUACGAAAACUUUUUUUGCAAACAAAAGCUCUUUUUGUUAUUGUCCAGAUAUCCACAAAUAAAAAACAAAAUUAGAGAAUGUGUUGAUAAUUAUUAUUUAUGUUUGCUCUCUAUACCUAGUUUGUUCAAAUAACCAAUUUACUGCUAGUGACAACAUGCUCCCUGACCAGUAAUUCCUACAGUCUUAGGUGCAAAAAAGAAGAUACUGAGAUAGAUGUAAUUAAACUUCUGGAGGAGUUGUUCAUUUUAGUAGCCGCUUCCUUUGAAAAUUCCUUUAAGAUUAGUGGGGUGUUCAGACCCAUAAAGUGAAAAUGGAUUUGAUGACAAGAGAACAGAGGCAGUUCUUACACUGCAGUGCUUACAGCAAAACCAGCUGAUGUGGGAGAUGACAGAGCUCUUGGGGAGACAGCUAUACCAUAACUCCUGCAUUCCAGGUGCAGCAGCAUAAGAAAAUAAAUCUCUGGAUCAUCCCUUUAAAAAAAAAAAGUGGUGUUGAAGCACGGUGUGAUUUUUUUAACUUGAUUAUUGGAGUUCUUAUAGGAACUUGGAGUUCCUAAGAAAGGGAGAAUUAAAAAAAAGUUGGAUUCUGAAGUACUGACACACCUUUGGUUACAGCAUGUAAAUGUAAUGGGUGUAAAUGUAAUGAUGUUGUAGACAUGAAAAAUGGGCAGAGUAGAUGGGUACAUCUGCUGACAAUCUUUCUUUUUAAUUUGGAGCCACCUGAAGUCAAUAAGUAUCUGGAUAAUAACUCGACCCCCAUACGGCUUCCGGUCUUUCAGAUUAAUAGUGUGCAGCAGGAGAAAGGAAAAAGGAGGCUACUUUUAACUCUGGCUUCUGUUUGCUUUUUUGUGAGCCUGAGAACAUUUCCUGUCUUCUUGGUGAUGGGAAAUGUAACCAAAAGAGGCAUCAAUGAAUGACAUUUCUCAUGGCUGGCCUUUGACACUGAGUUUUUGGUACCACCUGAGAGAUGCUGCAACGUGCAUGAAGGGGAAAGAAGGCCAGAUCUUUAGCAUGCUUUGCAGUUACCUCACUUCAGUGAGUUGUUGGUUUCUGAGUAUGUAUUGCAUCAUACCUAGAAUAUAUUUCCCAGUUAUAAUUCCUUAGAGUCCAGUAUUACAAGGAGCAGGUGAAUAUUGUCCAAUAAAAUACAUAUAUUUCUGUGAGAGCUAUAUUUUGAAAUAAGGAUUUUAACUUUGGUCUAGGAUUUAUAUAUAGACUUUCUACUUAUAGGUUACACAUUUUUGCUUUUGUAGCUUCCCAUACUUCCCUUCCUGUCUGUGUUCUCACAUUUCCUUUCUAAAUUAUAGUUAUGAGGGAACAACCAUUUUCCUUGAAAAGGGCUUUACUUUUGGGAUAAUAAAUGGCCAUUUUAAGAAAAGUCAGCAGUUCACAAGGGUGUUGCCGAACAUGUGAUUAUAUGAAAUGGGACUUUAGGAAAAACAAACCAAAAUCAACAACCCUUGGAACCCUGCAGUCUUGAGAUGGAUAGUAUUAGGAAAAAAUACCCAUCCAACUUGUUUUUCUAUGAGGGUUUUGUGCCAGAUUUUAGCUCUUGCCCUCCCUUUGUCAAAAUAAGUUUUGCAAUGCACAUUCACCUGCCAUGUGAAGGGUGUGGUGAGCAAAGGGGGAUGACUGAAGAAGGGCACAACAGUGAGAGAAUUUGUACUUUGGCUGUAUUUAGUACUGAUGCUACACUAAAUCACUGUAAAUACAGGUUACGAGUGUAGAUUAGGAUGUUAUAUCAAUAUUGGCAACUUUACUAGAAUCUGUUGCUCUAUUGAAUUGCUUAAUUGCUUUAAUGAGAGAAUACACAACUCUUUAGGAAGAAUUUGUGAAGGAGACAGUCAAGUCACCUCUUUUUUUGACCUGUAGCAAAAGAUAUCCUUCUAUUUGUUGGAGAUGAGAAUUUAGAGCUUCACUUUUGAAGGGACACAGGCAUAGACAAGUGAAAGCUUCAUUUCUAUGAGAAAUUGUACCGGGGUUUUUUGACUUGGAAAAAUGUGAAAUACUGAGACAUACUUUGCUUUCCAUUUCCCCCUCCUUUUGCUUGCAUCUAGAAUGUAGAGUUUAGGUGGUUCUUUGUGGAAUUUCUGUAAUUUUUGUCUGCAGAUUACUGUGUCUUCUAGUUCAGCAGUGCAUGGUAGAUACCGUUGCAGAGUAGAACUUUGGCUUCUCACGGGUUUUAGCGAGAAUGUGCAGCAUGGGUGAACAUGGUCCAGAGAUCCCAGUGGAAGCAGCUGGAAACUCCAGCCUCUAGACUAUGGUUUAGGAUGUUGGCAACUCUCUUGAUUUCUCUCAGUGGGAUUUCAGGCCCUGCAGAAAUGCAUUACCUGUCCCUACAUAGGCAGUGGGCUCAUAACAUAACAACAGCUCAGAAGUUUCUAUGAUGUUGUAAGUUUCAUUUAUGUGCAUGAAUAUCCUAGUUAUUUUUAAAAGAGAAGGCUUAGUAUUUUACUUUUGACAUAUUUCUAUUCCUCUAGAUGUUAUUUACAGGGUCAGUUUUGCUGUUAUUACUUCAUCUUUUGAGAAUGCUGGGUAAGGAUUACAUUUGAUGUAGCAAAUUCUUGCUGUUCUACAUAUUGUCCCAUUAAAUAUCCUUCACAGAACUGUAUGAUGGAGCUCAGUUUGUUUCACUGGAUAGUGAAAAUAAUAAAAUUCUAGUCUGAAAUAAUGAUACUGUGAUGUUGUUCCAUGCUUGAGAGAGAUUUGGUACCUGUAUUAAACCAAAGCUCUGCUUUGACAGUGGACAGGAAGACUGUUGUCUGAACUAAGAAGUCAAACUUGCCUGGGAGUAUCCUCUGGCACUUAGGGUAUGGACAGCCCAUGAUGAAAUCAUACAGCUCUUACCCUGCAAAAGAAGGUGACCACAUCCAAUCUUAUGGGAUUUAUCUCUGGGCUGUGUUAUUCCCUCGUGGUGCUGGGGAGUCUGCCAAAUUUGUGCCAAGAACUUGUCUAAGAACUGAACUGCAGAGAGAAUUAAAGUCUACUGUCUGGGUUUGCUUCUUGGUGCUGUUUAAUUUGCUGAUGAAGAAGAGGUCAAAGAAGAGCGUUUGACUACUUACCUCCAGUUGAGUUUUUUGAGGAUCACCACUCCAACUAAUGCAUCUCAUGUGUUUGGAAACUCAUUUUGUCUUAUCACUGCUGAAGACAGUUACAGUUUUGCAUUAAAAUUACAUGCAUGAUACUUCCCUCCUUUCUCUUGGAGGGAAAAGAACUAAAAUUUGAAAAAACAACCCUAUAUCACUGGCUGUUAUACAUGAGUCUUUGGGAUGAUAGAACUGAGAGAAUUUGCCUUUUCCAUGAGGUACUUUUUGCCCAUCCAGUAAGGUUUCAGAGGAUGAUAUGAUUUCUUUUCACCAUAAUAUAUAGUAAGCUUUUCUGUGUGCUCUGAGUUCAUGCCUGGUGUGUGUGUGUGUGUCUCUGCAUAUUCACACACAUACAGGCAUUGCCCAUGUGUAGAGGAGGUUUGCAGUAUCUAUGUAUGAUUUCCAGUGGUUAGCAUUAAGUGACAGUGACAGGUCACAUGAGCGCUGGGGCUCGGGCCCAGCAGGAGAUGGUGCAUGUGCACCUUCAGCAUUAACACAAUUGACAUCCGCUCAGGAGAGGGGUGGCUGGGCCUUUCCUUAGGAAACAUAUGCCAAAACUAUUAUCAGAGUCUACGUCAUGGCCUGCAGCAAACUGGACAGGAUGUUAAUGAGGAGGGAAUUGUGGAAGGAAUCUGAAUGCAUCCCAUAUUUUUAAACAGAAUGCUGAAUGAACAGAUUAUUUCCAUUAUGGUGCCCUGUCAGCAAUCUCAGUAUUUUGAUCUUUAUCAGGUUUAUGCUGAUAACAGUUUAUUUUUCAUUACUUAGUUGAUACACAUUUGGGGGUGUUUUAAAUGCAAUAAAUAAAUAAAUAAAUAAAUGCAAACAUCUGGGAAGCUAUAAAAGACUGUGGAGCCAGGACAGCUCAUUAUUUCUCCUUGACGAAGAAAUCUCUGGUGCAUCCUGUGAUGUCUGUGACAGUGUGUAAUGAGGCACUCCACUAUGUCAAACCCAGAGUCAUAAUUCUGUCUUAUCUGCUGUAAUAAUGAGACUUUUUGCACUACUGAACUCAGCAGAAGUUAUAGGUGAAAAGAAGGUGGCAUGUGUUUUGCAAGUAUUUACAACAGGUGGAGGCCAAGGAAUUAAAAUUGAUUGUUUUUUUCAUUCAGGGGCCUUGCUUCAGAGCCUAGCUUGGAAUUCAAGUUGUGUUGAUGAUUCAAACAAUGCCUGGCACUAAUUUAAUUUCAUAUUUGCAAUUUUCUGUAGUAGUCUUUGUUCAAUAUGUUAUUGCUUACUUUGCUUCUAUUUGUUCUUCCUUUAUCUUUUUCUUCCUGUCCCUCUCCCCCUCCCUGAAGGUUUGCCUGUGUAGCAAGAGUGAGAUAGCUAAAAUAAAUACCAUUGGUAAUAAUGGCUGUCCAUUUAAAGCAAAUUUUUAGAUGUGUUUUAGAAAGCAAAAUACCAAAGCAAUGUCAAAACACAUUUUUUUUUGUUUUUCAAGAUGCCAGCUGUUAGGCAUUUGCAUUCUUAUAGAUUGAGCAUAAGUUCAAUAUUACUAUUAGUUUGAUGUCCCUUGAAAUGUUAGGCUGUUUGUUAAUAAAAUAAAUUAAAUAUGGCCAAUGUCAUAGCAAGUCCAUUUUAUAAUUAAUUUUCAGCUGCCUUUCCUUUCCUGGACAAUGGAUAUAUUUUUUCCUACACCUUGGCUAACGUGCAGUAAUUAACAUGAGGUAAGCUGUAGUUGUAAUAUGAGUUAGGAGGGUGACGUGGCUCUUGGCCUCUUGGCAAAGUAUUCCCAUAUUCCCUUGUCUUUGUGACGGUUUUACCAAAUGUCAGCUCAUGUGUGCUAAGAAUAGGUCUUGCUGCUCUCUGCCUCAACAGAACUGACCUCAGCCCUGACCUGGAGCUUCCCUGCCUCGAAUAGAGAUUGUUCAUGUGCCAGAACCAUUCCAGCCACAGCUACUUAGCCCCCUGAGGUGGAAAUCUGUGCCCUGGUCUGCUAGAAAUUAGAGCUUUGGUGAUGCAAACCUAUCGAACAACCCUCGACUGGCAGUCACUGUCACUCAAUGUCAAGCUGAGCUUUUUUUGAGGAACCAACUACUGGUAAAGGGCUAUUGAAAAUAUUUUUUGUUUUUUGUUCUUAAAUUUUCCUUUGCAAGGAAGAUAACUGUUAAUAUCAGGUACUUAAGAAAGGGAGGAGUUGGAUCUGGUCUAUUUGUUUUUGCGUCAUGCCAUCAUUCCAGGUGACCUAGUUUAGGAUUGUGAUGAGAUCUGAAGACCAGAGUAUUGAAAAUGUUGUUUGUGAGAGCCUGUGUGCCAGAACAGUAUGGGGUAAAAUCAUCUUAAUGAGAUGCUAGGUCAUCUAUAGAAUGCAUCUCUCAGUAAAUACAGUGGAUUUAUUUUCCUAGAGGAACGCAAUGAACCUCUCACUGGAAUUUAUUUUUCUAAGGCUGGAAAAAAAUAAGUAGAUGCUUUAGUUCUUUCAAGGGUUAAGGAGAAGCAAUUUUCCGCAGUACACCACAGCUGCAGUUGUCAUUGCCAGCCUGCUCUAGAUUCACAUCUAAUGAUGGAACAUUGGACAAACUUCUGUGUAAAUUUCUCCAGAAAUAAAAUAACUUUUUAGUUUGUUUGAAAAAAAUAAUUAUGGAGAUACUGUUUUAUUAUUGUAAAUCAAGAUCCAGAACCUGAGAGUCCAAAAUACUAAUGUAGCUUCCAUCUGAAAAUUGAGGCCUGUCAGGUGGUAUCACAUCCACUCCCUUUCCAGCUUUAUUUGACCCAAGAGAAAAUUUGUUGAAAUGCUUGCUAACCUUUACUGACCAAGAGGAGUAACUUAAUAAACAUGAUUUUCCCCUGAGGAGUUUUACUGCCUGGCCUAGGUUUAGAUUUCCCUCUUGACAUUUUUCUACCCAUAUUCUGAUUCUUCCAAAGAAUGCAUAAAAGAGACUAGUUGCCUUGAAGUUCCCCUGGAAGAAAAACAAUAUUUGUUGAUCAGGGCCUUAGCCAAACAAUUACACUAUGCAUAAGCCAGUAAGAAGGGCAGACUUUUACUGUUCUUAAUUUACAAGGAGAAUGUCAUAAACCAUAUAAGUUUUUGUUAUCUGAUUCUUUAUAGGGAAAAGGUGAGGAAACAGAAUAUUUUUUGUUUUUCCUUAAUGCAUCCUGCUAGUAAAUUUGUACUCACUGCAGAUUGUGUUAUAAAAUGAAUGAAUAAAAAAUGAAUAAGGGUUAUUUACCAGGAA